This 253-nucleotide ribosomal RNA is filed under the name uncultured bacterium. Its description in RNAcentral is "partial 16S ribosomal RNA". It matches the Rfam family "Bacterial small subunit ribosomal RNA", at positions 524 to 776 of the family's 1533-position model. The record is from RNAcentral. RNAcentral also lists the same sequence under 1 other name.
UACAGAGGUCUCAAGCGUUGUUCGGAUUCAUUGGGCGUAAAGGGUGCGUAGGUGGCGAAGUAAGUCGGGUGUGAAAUCUCGGGGCUUAACCCCGAAACUGCAUUCGAUACUGCUUUGCUCGAGGACUGGAGAGGAGAUCGGAAUUCAUGGUGUAGCAGUGAAAUGCGUAGAUAUCAUGAGGAAGACCAGUGGCGAAGGCGGAUCUCUGGACAGUUCCUGACACUGAGGCACGAAGGCCAGGGGAGCAAACGGG